This is a non-coding RNA of Misgurnus anguillicaudatus (oriental weatherfish), 536 nucleotides long. Lineage: Eukaryota; Metazoa; Chordata; Actinopteri; Cypriniformes; Cobitidae. The record is from RefSeq and is a predicted model, not a curated record.
UACACAGACACCCUUGUGUUUACAAGUUAAAAGCGCAUGCGUCGCCUUUGCUGUAAGUCAGCCUCAACGUGGUGUGGAGAGGUGUGACUCACCAUACCCGUCAAGUAUCCCGUUUUGGCGGGGAAAGUCCCGUAUUUUACCCUUCUUUCCCGCCGUCCUCCCGUAUUAGUAUUUUCCCUUAAAUCUCCCAUAUUUUAUCCUCCGUAAUUUCGCACGCAAAGGUUGUGAUCUAUAAAAAGAUCCUAAAGAUCGCUAAAGAUCCACUGAUUCCGCUAAUCCACUUCGUGUUUUCCCGCCCGCCCCGCAGCAUCUCUGUGUGCACUCUCUGCCUGGACGACAGUUUCUGAAGUUCGUUGCAUUAACAGGCAAAAAAUACAAAAAACACAAAUGCCUUCACAAAAUAAAGACAGAGAACGGAAAGGGAGGCUGCUUCUAAAGGCAGUUCAACAUUGCAAACAUGGAUUCAAAGAUCCAUCAAGCCAGCAGGUCGUCUGUUGACUGCUGAAUAUAAAACCCCUUCAAUAUAGAAGUCCAGU